AUCCCACAAAGAUUUUAUAGAGUUAGAUUCUAUAAUCUAUAAUCUUUGCAUUUUACUUAGUCAAUUUGAAUCUUUUCAUCCACGCAAGUUGCUGUAUGCAGGAAGCAUCCCAUGCAUGAAAGGGCCACCGAAGGAACCACAUGCGAUGGAGGGCGAGCAGUUUGAAACUGAUACAUCGAAUACUGAUGGAAGCAUUCCGUUCAUGGAGGGGUCACAUUAAAUGGAAAGCAAGCAGUUUGAAAGUGUUACGACAAAUACUGAUGAUAUUCUUUCGAGUGUACCUGAAAG
This is a long non-coding RNA of Coccinella septempunctata (seven-spotted ladybird), 288 nucleotides long. RefSeq lists it as uncharacterized. NCBI's taxonomy places the organism in Eukaryota, Metazoa, Arthropoda, Insecta, Coleoptera, Coccinellidae. The transcript has 3 exons. The record is from RefSeq and is a predicted model, not a curated record.